This 24-nucleotide non-coding RNA is filed under the name Arabidopsis thaliana (thale cress). The record is from RNAcentral. Lineage: Eukaryota; Viridiplantae; Streptophyta; Magnoliopsida; Brassicales; Brassicaceae.
AACGUCCUGCCAAACCCGUCUACA